Long non-coding RNA from Scylla paramamosain (green mud crab), 1279 nucleotides. RefSeq lists it as uncharacterized. The transcript is spliced from 4 exons. Lineage: Eukaryota; Metazoa; Arthropoda; Malacostraca; Decapoda; Portunidae. The record is from RefSeq and is a predicted model, not a curated record.
UUCCGUCUGUGCAACAUUCCCCAGCACGCAGAACUGAACAGCGUGGAGGUGCGGGAGUGCAGGCGCUGGCCAUGUCUCGCCAAGGCAGGGCGCCGUGGCACCUACCAGAUUACAUUCACUCCCUAUACAGACGAGCCAGUGGGGCGUCUGAAGAGCGAUAUCUACGCGUGGGUGCGCCUCCCUUACGGCCCACAGGAGUCUAUACGCGUGGCAGUCCCGGGGGAGGAGAAGCAGCCCCUGUGCGCCUACCUGUCCCCUCCCUGCCCCCUGCCCCCCGCCUCGCCUGCCACCGUCACCAAGUCCCUCACCAUCCCCGUGCAGGCCAGGAUGGCGGUCGGGAACAGAGUGGGCGUGGAAUUUCGAGUGACAGACGAAGCAGGGCGUGUCAUGACCUGCUUCCACGCCCCUGUCAUUGUGGCCUGAGGGCGUGGCUGAGGAAGGGCGGGGGUGAUGGAAAUGGGUGAAGAAGAAGAGGAAGAUAAACAGAAAGAUAAAUGAAGAAGAAGAAGAAGAAGAAGAAGAAGAAGAAGAAGAAGAAGAAGAAGAAGCAUACUCCCACAAUAACAACAAUCUCUCUCUCCACCUCUACUAUACUCACCUCCACAUCACUUCAUCCACUUCAUAUUAUUAUUAAGAUUCCACUGUACGCCUCCACGCGGUUUACAAGGGUCAGCGGUCAGCACAUGCAACCUCCCCCUCUGGCCUCCGGGUGCACACUGGUUGUCACGUGGGGCUUUCUGUGGCACUGCGCAGGCGUGGUGGAAUUUCGUAAAUGAAUUAAAUUUGUGUGUUUCUUUUAUUUGUAAGCUUUUUAGGGUUAGUUUCAUGUAUUAUAAAUCAUUUGUUUGAUUUUUAGUAUUUUUUUGUAUUGUUUGUUGUUUAUUUUGGCUAUGUUUAAAAUUGCGAUGAAUAAUUUCUUAAAAAAGUAAAUUUGAGUAUAUAUUUUUCUUUUAUAAAUUUGUAUAUCAUUUUCUGGAUAUUUUUUUCCUUCAUCAUUGUCUUUUUUUGUCUAAUUUUAGUGAAGCUAAUUUCUUAAAAAAAACAAAAUUUGAAUAUACUUUCUGUUUUAUGUUCGUAGUAUUGAAACUCAUGUAUUCCCAAUUACCUGUGUUAUUAUUUUGCUGUAUUUUAUCGUGUAUUUUGUAUUGUUUUUUUAAGAAUACCGAAUUUCUCAGAUUUGAAUUAGAAUGAUAUAAUUAGAUAAUGAUAACUAUUACGCUACUAUUAUUAUUAUUAUUAUUAUUAUUAUUAUUAUUAUUAUUAUUAUUAUUAUUGUAAG